This 663-nucleotide long non-coding RNA is filed under the name Coffea arabica (coffee). Its description in RNAcentral is "long non-coding RNA (CARA_LNC001641)". Lineage: Eukaryota; Viridiplantae; Streptophyta; Magnoliopsida; Gentianales; Rubiaceae. The record is from RNAcentral.
UCUAAAAUUUUGUGAAUAACUACGACUGCAGAUGCGCAAGUUGUUGCAACUUCCUCUGGUUUUUGGUCGUCGUCCUUCUCUGCAUUGAAUAACAUUACAAAGGGAAGGUCACGGGUCACCAUAACUGGUAACGCCCCCCGUUCGGGAAAUUAAUACCAAGAAGGAAGAACAUGGCCAUUUGAGCACACUGCUCUGACAGGGAUACAUCUGUUUACGACCGGCUACAUGCUAUUGUCUGCAUUGUCCACGUACAAUUGGUCGCCUGCUAAUAAUAGUCCGAUCAAUUCCAUCGUUGAGCUUAACAUUUAUGGAAUGGGAAAUUAUUUACUGGUGCUUACAAGAAAUGAAGAAAGCCGGUACUGACAUCAUCAGCUGGGCUCUGGCUAAGUUGCUGAAUUGACCUUUAAUUUCCUCGGAAUAUCACCCACAACUAAGAAUUGGAGUGCUAGGAGGAAGGCGGAUGACACAAAACCGAAGGUAACAAAAGAUGCCGAAGAAGAAGAGCAAGGAAAGGAUAAACAUGCGUCAAAAGCAAGGGAAACGAAGCUCAGAUCAUGGACGGAGAAAGAUACAUUGAAUGAGACGGUGCAUCCUAUACGAAAGCAGCCGAAAAUAAACAACAAUGCAAUUUGCUUGUAUCAUAGCUUUGCGUUUUUUUUUCCC